Molecule: ribosomal RNA, 77 nt
Filed under: Caerostris darwini
Lineage: Eukaryota; Metazoa; Arthropoda; Arachnida; Araneae; Araneidae
Source: RNAcentral
UAGAUCACCGAAGUUAAGCAUCAUUGGGCGCGGUCAGUACUUGGGUGGGUGACCACCUGGGAACACUGCGUGCCGUU